UUGCUGGCUUUGUCAAGCUGAGCAAAAUUUCAGUUGAUGUUUUGAUAGUUAUUUUCUUUUUUGUCUGAAGAUUUCACAUCUUUGAAGUUUCUACAAGCUCAAACACAUUGGCUGAAGCAUUCAGACGUGCUCAUAUUACAAAGUAAUGAAAAUUUCCAUUUAUCAGAGGAACCACAUCUAAAGACACCUAGUAAUCAUUUCAUAUAUAUUUUAACUUUUAUUGAUAGUUUUAUUCACGGUUCUUGGGUAGAAGUAUUUGGUAAGCAUAUGAACGACUUAAGA
Molecule: unclassified non-coding RNA, 282 nt
Filed under: Hevea brasiliensis (rubber tree)
Lineage: Eukaryota; Viridiplantae; Streptophyta; Magnoliopsida; Malpighiales; Euphorbiaceae
Source: RNAcentral